Molecule: long non-coding RNA, 612 nt
Organism: Myotis myotis
Lineage: Eukaryota; Metazoa; Chordata; Mammalia; Chiroptera; Vespertilionidae
Exons: 2
Source: RefSeq, a predicted model, not a curated record
CCCGCCCCCGCCAGCAAAUCCUCCUGAACCCAUUUUACAGAUGGGAAGACCGAGGCCGAGGGCCGGCGACCUGAGCGGAGUUCUCUGAUGCUCCACGGAGACCCAAGCCAGUGCUUUUCCAUACGGUAGACGGGGUCGUGGGCGCAUCGGGAACCAACCUCGGAUUCCCCACUCCGUUUCCCGCGCUGCUUCUGGAAACCCAUCUGUAGAAUGCAAGUCAGGGAGCACCCAGAGCGGACAAGCAGCCAACACCCACACCAAGGAGAAUGGGCUUAGAGUGCUAGUGUUUACAAAUUCCCGUGACUUUGUGGAGAUUUUAAGGCAUUUUCCAUUAUAGAAAAUUGAGAAAAUGCAGAAAAGUUCGACGAGGAAAACAAAAACCCCAAAUUCUGCCCCUCAAAGAGAUGAUCAUUUUAGUUUGUUUCCUUUCAGUAUUUGUUCCUACUUUGUGUAUUUGUUUUUAUAUUUAUACAUUUUCCUCUUUCCCCUGUAUAUGUAAUAUGGUAGCCAUUUUUUUUCACUUUAUGUUCUGUUGCAAGCACUUAUGUCAUUACAAAAUCCUUCGUUUCCCACAUUAAAUAUGUAACCUAAUAAAAAUUAACUGUAACUACG